RNAcentral lists this ribosomal RNA (208 nucleotides) under uncultured bacterium. RNAcentral's name for it is "partial 16S ribosomal RNA". It matches the Rfam family "Bacterial small subunit ribosomal RNA", at positions 568 to 774 of the family's 1533-position model. The record is from RNAcentral.
CGUGCAGGCGGUCACCGCAAGUUGAAUGUGAAAUCCCCGGGCUUAACCCGGGAAGUGCGUUCAAGACUGCGGGGCUUGAAUACGGGAGAGGAUCGUGGAAUUCCUGGUGUAGAGGUGAAAUUCGUAGAUAUCAGGAGGAACACUCGUGGCGAAGGCGACGGUCUGGACCGAUAUUGACGCUGAGACGCGAAAGCGUGGGUAGCAAACA